CAGCAGCCGCGGGAAUACGGAGGGAGCUAGCGUUAUUCGGAAUUACUGGGCGUAAAGCGCACGUAGGCGGCUUAGUAAGUUAGAGGUGAAAGCCUGGAGCUCAACUCCAGAAUUGCCUUUAAGACUGCAUCGCUUGAAUCCAGGAGAGGUGAGUGGAAUUCCGAGUGUAGAGGUGAAAUUCGUAGAUAUUCGGAAGAACACCAGUGGCGAAGGCGGCUCACUGGACUGGUAUUGACGCUGAGGUGCGAAAGCGUGGGGAGCAAACAGGAUUAGAUACCCCUGUAGUCCCUGUCUCUUAUAC
RNAcentral lists this ribosomal RNA (301 nucleotides) under uncultured bacterium. RNAcentral describes it as "partial 16S ribosomal RNA". It matches the Rfam family "Bacterial small subunit ribosomal RNA", at positions 509 to 807 of the family's 1533-position model. The record is from RNAcentral.